GGUUUAGCUCAGUUGGUAGAGCAUUGGUCUCCAAAACCAAGUGUCGGGAGUUCGAGUCUCUCAACC
Molecule: transfer RNA, 66 nt
Filed under: Porphyromonas gingivalis
Lineage: Bacteria; Pseudomonadati; Bacteroidota; Bacteroidia; Bacteroidales; Porphyromonadaceae
Also listed under: 5 other names
Rfam family: tRNA
About the family: Transfer RNA (tRNA) molecules are approximately 80 nucleotides in length. Their secondary structure includes four short double-helical elements and three loops (D, anti-codon, and T loops).
Source: RNAcentral